ACUGAAUGGAGAAUAUCUCUUGGACCUUGGCUGUCUCCUGGAAAGUAGUGCUAUGCAGUCAGAGAGUCCCUUCACUGUUGGAUUGCGUCUACCCUGAUCAAACUGAACACUAACAGUUGCUAUCUGCCAACAACUACAAAGCGUGUUUUGUGGGAUUUACUGUGGCCUUUCUCAGAGGAAGAAGGCCAUGGACAUUAAAGACCUCAAGUCCUGUGGCUAAAUCAGUGUUGUUCAUCUCCUGAAUUCCUUUAAUUGCUUGCUUCUACUGGAGUCAAAUAGGCUACUAUGCCUUUGGCUCUGGUGAACUGUGGAUCUUUACUCAUUCUUGGUUGAAAUAAGAUGAAAUUGGGCAACAUGCACUAACAGCAGUGCUCAGUGGUUUGCACUCAUUGCAAAAUGUGCCAAAACAUGUUAUUGUUCUAGAAAUGGAGAUCUAAGACCUACUCCUUUUGCCUGGUUUCUGUUGCACAACCAAGAGCCUGCUCAGUGAUUUCUUCUGACCUCAGUGGGGGAUCUUAGGGCUGGAGUGGGCUGAGAGACAGAGUCUUCAUAAUCACUCUUGAGCAUUGCAGGAUGAAAAGAUUAAAGAGAUUAAAAAUAGUUUACGUGGUAGAAAAAUGCCUUACUCAUCAAGAUUGAAAAGCUUCCCUGGUCAGGUUGGUUCUUGUGAAGUUGUUUUACAAGUGAAACUGAUGUGAAAGGUCCUAUAGACCUUAGGGCUUUGCAGUUCAGGCUCUUCAUGUGGUGUGGGGCAUCUAAUUCCUUGCCAGACUUGCUUUGAAGAGAUUUUGAAUUAUCUUGACUGUGGGUUGGGGUAUGUUUAGGGCUCCCUGUCUUGCUUCAUAUGGCUUUAUUUAUGUAAAAAGAAAAUCCUGUUGCUGUUGAAGGCAAUGUCCAUAGUGGUGUAGACAUCUCUUACCUAUUUCUUAAUCUGAGGUGGCCAACUCAGUUUAUAUUACCUGUGUAGCUACUAAGUUUCAGCUCAGGAUGGUAAUAUGUGUUCCAGACAAUAAAGAAACCAGAGGCUAAAACUGCACUGCUGUUUUGCAGUCCUAAGUGAUGAAUGUACUUACAAUGCAAUAAGGGAUUAAAGAAUUGAUAGUCU
Long non-coding RNA from Gallus gallus (chicken), 1105 nucleotides. NCBI's taxonomy places the organism in Eukaryota, Metazoa, Chordata, Aves, Galliformes, Phasianidae. The record is from Ensembl.